AUAAAAAACCGGGGGUCAAAACGUAAUUUAAAAAAGUUGUGCCAUGUUAGCACCACGUCAGCAGCCACAUCAGCGGCCCGGUCGCAGCCCCGGCCAACCAGGACGAGUCGCGUGGCAAGGACAGGCUGACCAGGGGACGGGCCACGGGGGCGAUCCGACUGCGCGCGAUCGGACAGCCCAGAUCCGUUCCCCCGCACACGGAC
This 203-nucleotide long non-coding RNA is filed under the name Carica papaya (papaya). RNAcentral's name for it is "long non-coding RNA (CPAP_LNC008568)". The record is from RNAcentral. Lineage: Eukaryota; Viridiplantae; Streptophyta; Magnoliopsida; Brassicales; Caricaceae.